GACGAACGCUGGCGGCGUGCUUAACACAUGCAAGUCGAACGAUGAAGCUGGAGCUUGCUCCGGUGGAUUAGUGGCGAACGGGUGAGUAACACGCGAGCAAUCUGCCCUUGACUCUGGGAUAACUGCGGGAAACUGUAGCUAAUACCGGAUAUGAGAUCUGAAGGCAUCUUCGGGUUUGGAAAGAAUUUCGGUCAAGGAUGAGCUCGCGGCCUAUCAGCUAGUUGGUGAGGUAAUGGCUCACCAAGGUGACGACGGGUAGCCGGCCUGAGAGGGUGACCGGCCACACUGGAACUGAGACACGGUCCAGACUCCUACGGGAGGCAGCAGUGGGGAAUAUUGCACAAUGGGCGAAAGCCUGAUGCAGCAACGCCGCGUGGGGGAUGAAGGCCUUCGGGUUGUAAACCUCUUUUAGCAGGGAAGAAGCGAAAGUGACGGUACCUGCAGAAAAAGCACCGGCUAACUACGUGCCAGCCGCCGCCGUAA
This 483-nucleotide ribosomal RNA is filed under the name uncultured bacterium. Its description in RNAcentral is "partial 16S ribosomal RNA". It matches the Rfam family "Bacterial small subunit ribosomal RNA", at positions 28 to 523 of the family's 1533-position model. The record is from RNAcentral.